This 506-nucleotide ribosomal RNA is filed under the name uncultured bacterium. RNAcentral's name for it is "partial 16S ribosomal RNA". It matches the Rfam family "Bacterial small subunit ribosomal RNA", at positions 28 to 523 of the family's 1533-position model. The record is from RNAcentral.
GAUGAACGCUAGCUACAGGCUUAACACAUGCAAGUCGAGGGGUAACGAGAGGAAAGCUUGCUUUCCUUGUCGACGACCGGCGCACGGGUGAGUAACGCGUAUCCAACCUGCCCCCAACUAGGGAAUAACCUUGCGAAAGUAAGACUAAUACCCUAUAAUUUCCUCAGAUGACAUCUGACGAGGAAUAAAGAUUUAUCGGUUGUGGAUGGGGAGGCGUCUGAUUAGCUUGUUGGCGGGGUAACGGCCCACCAAGGCAACGAUCAGUAGGGGUUCUGAGAGGAAGGUCCCCCACAUUGGAACUGAGACACGGUCCAAACUCCUACGGGAGGCAGCAGUGAGGAAUAUUGGUCAAUGGGCGGAAGCCCGAACCAGCCAAGUAGCGUGCAGGAUGACGGCCCUAUGGGUUGUAAACUGCUUUUAUACAGGAAUAAAGUUAGCUACGUGUGGUUAUUUGUAGGUACUGUAUGAAUAAGGACCGGCUAAUUCCGUGCCAGCCGCCGCAGUAA